UUAGCGGCGGACGGGUGAGUAACGCGUGGACAACCUGCCCUAUGCAGGGGGAUAACAUCCGGAAACGGGUGCUAAUACCGCAUAAGCGCACAGUACCGCAUGGUACAGUGUGAAAAGCUGAGGCGGCAUAGGAUGGGUCCGCGUUGGAUUAGGCAGUUGGCGGGGUAACGGCCCACCAAACCGACGAUCCAUAGCCGGCCUGAGAGGGUGGACGGCCACAUUGGGACUGAGACACGGCCCAGACUCCUACGGGAGGCAGCAG
RNAcentral lists this ribosomal RNA (262 nucleotides) under uncultured bacterium. RNAcentral's name for it is "partial 16S ribosomal RNA". It matches the Rfam family "Bacterial small subunit ribosomal RNA", at positions 92 to 354 of the family's 1533-position model. The record is from RNAcentral.